CGGACUGGGCAGAUCCCGGCCAUGGCCUCGAGCUCGCUCUCGUUCCUGGCUCUCCUGCUGCUGGCGGCCCUGCCAGGGCUCCGGGCGGCCGUGACCCUGCUGGAGUCCGGGGGGGACCUCCAGCCCCCCGGGGGGUCCCUGCGCCUCCUCUGCCGCGCCCCCGGCCUCGAUUUGGGCCAAUCCCGGAUCUUCUGGGUGCGGCAGGGCGCCGGGAGGGGCCUGGAGCUGCUGGCGGGCAUCGGCGGCCCGGCGGCGCCGUGGGCGCGCGGAAGGUUCCGGGUGGGGCGGGAAGGGGACGGCGGCGGGUGGGUGACGCUGAGCGCCGACGACCUGCGGGACGGGGAUUCCGGGGUUUAUUUCUGCGCCGCUCACGGCGGUGCCGGCGCCGGGGACGGGCGGAGGAAAACCUCGGGGUGGUCCCUGGGGGGAGGGGGAGG
This is a non-coding RNA of Parus major (Great Tit), 437 nucleotides long. The record is from the annotation of a RefSeq genome assembly. Lineage: Eukaryota; Metazoa; Chordata; Aves; Passeriformes; Paridae.